Molecule: ribosomal RNA, 253 nt
Filed under: uncultured bacterium
Lineage: Bacteria
Description: partial 16S ribosomal RNA
Rfam family: Bacterial small subunit ribosomal RNA
Source: RNAcentral
UACGUAGGGAGCAAGCGUUAUCCGGAAUUAUUGGGUGUAAAGGGAGCGUAGGUGGAUUGUUAAGUCAGUUGUGAAAGUUUGCGGCUCAACCGUAAAAUUGCAGUUGAAACUGGCAGUCUUGAGUACAGUAGAGGUGGGCGGAAUUCGUGGUGUAGCGGUGAAAUGCUUAGAUAUCACGAAGAACUCCGAUUGCGAAGGCAGCUCACUGGACUGCAACUGACACUGAGGCUCGAAAGUGUGGGUAUCAAACAGG